AACGCGAAGAACCUUACCAGGGCUUGACAUGCAGGGUGAAACCGGUGAAAGCCGGUGCUCCUUCGGGAGCCUGCACAGGUGCUGCAUGGCUGUCGUCAGCUCGUGCCGUGAGGUGUUGCCUUAAGUCCCGCAACGAGCGCAACCCUCGUCCCAUGUUGCCAGCGGGUAGUGCCGGGGACUCAUGGGAGACUGCCGGGGUCAACUCGGAGGAAGGUGGGGAUGACGUCAAGUCCUCAUGGCCUUUAUGCCCAGGACUACACGCGUGCUACAAUGGGCGGUACAAAGGGUUGCGAUGGUGCGAGCCGGAGCUAAUCCCAAAAAACCGUCCUCAGUACGGAUUGCAUUCUGCAACUCGACUGCAUGAAGCUGGAAUCGCUAGUAAUCCCAGAUCAGCAUGCUGGGGUGAAUACGUUCCCGGGCCUUGUACACACCG
RNAcentral lists this ribosomal RNA (433 nucleotides) under uncultured bacterium. Its description in RNAcentral is "bacterial SSU rRNA". It matches the Rfam family "Bacterial small subunit ribosomal RNA", at positions 958 to 1392 of the family's 1533-position model. The record is from RNAcentral.